RNAcentral lists this long non-coding RNA (751 nucleotides) under Helianthus annuus (common sunflower). RNAcentral describes it as "hypothetical non coding rna". Lineage: Eukaryota; Viridiplantae; Streptophyta; Magnoliopsida; Asterales; Asteraceae. The record is from RNAcentral.
UGAUGUGUGGUAAAAUACACAUAUUUCCCUGUGUAAAGUAUCCUGGUGCAAAUGGAGCAAAAACGAGUAAUAUGGAAAUGACCAGCCAGUUGGACAGAGUGAGGUGCCAGUAACAGAAGUAAAAAUUGCCGCUAUUUUUAUCGAUUGGACCGAGCCUACUAUCUCUACAUUAGUAAGGGGACAUGAAGGCACACUAGGGGACUGGCUAAUUAAGUUCGAUCUACAUCAACGUUAGUCAGUGGGCCGCCCAUUUCCAUGCAUACAUGUCCAUGAGAUUUUAGUUGAGGGAAUUGUUAAUUGGGCUUGGAACCGAAGUGUUAAGGGAAUUCUAAAAUAAAAAAAAAAACCCUAAAGCAUAUUAUUAUAUAUAUAGGGGACGUGAGGAGAGUUUGGGGGAGCAUAAAAAAAGUCAACAAGCAAGUGACGGCAACAAGCAAAAGAAGGGAGACGGCUGAACAGUUCGACGAAGAAGAAAGGGCGAUCAAGACAACAGAAAAGAAAAACAUUUGUUCAAGGGUUCAAGCCGCAAGUCCGGGUUUGAUAUUUAUCAGUAUUCAAUUUGUUAAGACUUUGUGUUUUCAGAUUUGAUACUAUGUCUUAUUUAUUAUUUGAGACUUGUUCCUUUUUAGCGACUAUGAUUCUUGGCUAAAUCUUUUCAUGCUACCUAGGUUUAGAUGAACUUGAUGAUUGUAAUGCGAUUUUGACAUGAUUAUGGUUAUUUGAUGUGAUUUACAUAACUUUUCUUUGAUAU